GACGAACGCUGGCGGCGUGCCUAAUACAUGCAAGUUGAGCGCUGAAGGUUGGUACUUGUACCGACUGGAUGAGCAGCGAACGGGUGAGUAACGCGUGGGGAAUCUGCCUUUGAGCGGGGGACAACAUUGGGAAACGAAUGCUAAUACCGCAUAAAAACUUUAAACACAAGUUUUAAGUUUGAAAGAUGCAAUUGCAUCACUCAAAGAUGAUCCCGCGUUGUAUUAGCUAGUUGGUGAGGUAAAGGCUCACCAAGGCGAUGAUACAUAGCCGACCUGAGAGGGUGAUCGGCCACAUUGGGACUGAGACACGGCCCAAACUCCUACGGGAGGCAGCAGUAGGGAAUCUUCGGCAAUGGACGAAAGUCUGACCGAGCAACGCCACGUGAGUGAAGAAGGUUUUCGGAUCGUAAAACUCUGUUGGUAGAGAAGAACGUUGGUGAGAGUGGAAAGCUCAUCAAGUGACGGUAACUACCCAGAAAGGGACGGCUAACUACGUG
RNAcentral lists this ribosomal RNA (497 nucleotides) under uncultured bacterium. RNAcentral's name for it is "partial 16S ribosomal RNA". It matches the Rfam family "Bacterial small subunit ribosomal RNA", at positions 28 to 507 of the family's 1533-position model. The record is from RNAcentral.